CAGUAGCCACGGUAAUACGUAGGUGGCAAGCGUUGUCCGGAAUUAUUGGGCGUAAAGCGCGCGCAGGCGGUCCUUUAAGUCUGAUGUGAAAGCCCACGGCUCAACCGUGGAGGGUCAUUGGAAACUGGGGGACUUGAGUGCAGAAGAGGAAAGUGGAAUUCCAAGUGUAGCGGUGAAAUGCGUAGAGAUUUGGAGGAACACCAGUGGCGAAGGCGACUUUCUGGUCUGUAACUGACGCUGAGGCGCGAAAGCGUGGGGAGCAAACAGGAUUAGAUACCCCAGUAGUCCCUGUCUCUUAUAA
This 301-nucleotide ribosomal RNA is filed under the name uncultured bacterium. Its description in RNAcentral is "partial 16S ribosomal RNA". It matches the Rfam family "Bacterial small subunit ribosomal RNA", at positions 509 to 809 of the family's 1533-position model. The record is from RNAcentral.